RNAcentral lists this ribosomal RNA (433 nucleotides) under uncultured bacterium. RNAcentral describes it as "partial 16S ribosomal RNA". It matches the Rfam family "Bacterial small subunit ribosomal RNA", at positions 29 to 507 of the family's 1533-position model. The record is from RNAcentral.
AACGAACGCUGGCGGCAUGCCUAACACAUGCAAGUCGAACGAGACCUUCGGGUCUAGUGGCGCACGGGUGCGUAACGCGUGGGAACCUGCCCUUAGGUUCGGAAUAACUCCCCGAAAGGGGUGCUAAUACCGGAUAAUGUCUUCGGACCAAAGAUUUAUCGCCUUUGGAUGGGCCCGCGUUGGAUUAGCUAGUUGGUAGGGUAAAAGCCUACCAAGGCGACGAUCCAUAGCUGGUCUGAGAGGAUGAUCAGCCACACUGGGACUGAGACACGGCCCAGACUCCUACGGGAAGCAGCAGUGGGGAAUAUUGGAGAAUGGGCGAAAGCCUGAUCCAGCAAUGCCGCGUGAGUGAUGAAGGCCUUAGGGUUGUAAAGCUCUUUUACCCGGGAUGAUAAUGACAGUACCGGGAGAAUAAGCUCCGGCUAACUCCGUG